AGCGAACGCUGGCGGCAGGCCUAACACAUGCAAGUCGAACGAACCUUUCGGGGUUAGUGGCGGACGGGUGAGUAACACGUGGGAACGUGCCUUUAGGUUCGGAAUAACUCAGGGAAACUUGUGCUAAUACCGAAUGUGCCCUUCGGGGGAAAGAUUUAUCGCCUUUAGAGCGGCCCGCGUCUGAUUAGCUAGUUGGUUGAGGUAAUGGCUCACCAAGGCGACGAUCAGUAGCUGGUCUGAGAGGAUGAUCAGCCACAUUGGGACUGAGACACGGCCCACACUCCUACGGGAGGCAGCAGUGGGGAAGCUUGCGCACUGGGCGAAAGCCUGACGCAGCCAUGCCGCGUGAAUGAUGAAGGUCUUAGGAUUGUAAAAUUCUUUCACCGGGGACGAUAAUGACGGUACCCGGAGAAGAAGCCCCGGCUAACUUCGUG
RNAcentral lists this ribosomal RNA (434 nucleotides) under uncultured bacterium. RNAcentral's name for it is "partial 16S ribosomal RNA". It matches the Rfam family "Bacterial small subunit ribosomal RNA", at positions 29 to 507 of the family's 1533-position model. The record is from RNAcentral.